This is a long non-coding RNA of Paramisgurnus dabryanus, 1291 nucleotides long. RefSeq lists it as uncharacterized. Lineage: Eukaryota; Metazoa; Chordata; Actinopteri; Cypriniformes; Cobitidae. The record is from RefSeq and is a predicted model, not a curated record.
GUAGAAGGUGACGUUCUCACGACCUUUCGCAACGUUCCCUUAAAGUUCUCUAAAGAGGAUGAAAAGACCUGAACCUUUAGAGAACAUUAGAAGGCAAUGCAUCUUGGAAACAGUAGUCCGUUACCAGCAACAGCGUUCAAUCCGCUUUAUGAAAAGGACUACCUUACCCAUAAUGCUACAGCUUACAAGAGGACCCGGAAGUCGCAUGAAAUUCAAACUGCCACACUUGACGACGCGUGAUCUUUGUUUUGUCUUUAUAUAAUACUGUAAGAAGUCAUGUACCACACAUUGUCAAACCUGAAGAAGUGUAUCUUCCUGCAAUCUGGGCUCCAGACCUGGAGAUUGAAGUUCCUAAAGGUUGAUGUUUAUCAAGCUUGUGACCUUAUUGCAUGGUGUUAUUUUUUUACAUUUAUAUAUCUAAUACACAUUUGCACAUCUGUAAACAUAAAUUUAAUAUUUUGUGGGUUAUUUUUAAAUUUUAUUUAACCAGUUGUUGUAUAUUGAAAUCUGUUAUUACAUGUUAUGCACUCCAACUGUAAAUGUUUUGUUUUAAUUGCAUCUUUAUUGUUUUAAACAAUUUAAUUAAUGUGGGUUUUUGUUAGCUUUUAUGUUAUUCUUGUAUUUUUUGGCUAUUUAUUUGUUUUUAUUAUCCUUCUGUUAAUUUGCCAGAUUUUGACCUUCUAUUUGUUUUUCCUGUAAUCUCACUUCAAUUAUUUUCUGUGUUUUUCAAUGAUACAUUUUUGUCACAGUCCCAAUUUGUUCCUGCUUGUUUCUCCAUGUUUCCCCGUUCAUCAUCCAUUUGGACUUCAUUUCCCAUAAUCCUUUUCACUCUCUCACCUGAACUGUGUUUGUUAUUAUCCUCACCUGACAGUCAUCCCCCUCAUCACUCCAUUGUCUAAAUACCCCACUUUUCCGUUUGUCUAGGUCAGUUCUUGUUUAUAGUGAUGUGUUGUGUGUUUUGCUGUACCAGUUUCCAUGUUCCUUGUUUUAUAUUAAUUAAAGAUUAUCAUUUUGGAUUCAUCAUGAUCUCCAUCUCCUCCUUUAUCUUCCACCACACCAACCGUAUCAAUUUCACAGUAUAAUUAUAUAUUGUUUGAGUUAUGGCUAUUUUCUGUCUUAAAUGUUCUGGGAACUUUACUAGGCAAUGUCCUUAACACCAGUGGGGUCGUUCCGGGAACAUAAAAUUUCUACAUAAAAUAUGGUUCCCUUAACAUUUUCUGAACGUCCUAAAUGUUCCGUGAAGGUCUGCCAAAUAACGUCCUUCACCCUUUUAAAGAACUCCACAACACGU